AUCCAUAGAUAUAGCUUGAAUGAUGUUGUAUGUGAGUAUUCUUGAAAGAUUGAAGCAAGAAAAUCACCCCUCCCUUGUUUUUGUAAUUUUCGAAAAAAUGGGUGUUCAACCCUUCAAAAAAAUUUCUUUUUCUUUCCUUGAUUUGGGGUGAAAAAUGAGAUCUAUGUGAUGUUUGGUGAUGAUUGAUGUGUGUUGUGAAAUAUAUGUCUUGAGAUGUGAAAGUUCGAUGGAGUUUAGUUUACCCAAAAUUGGGAACUUUUGAGUUGAUGAUGAAGAUGAGUCCAUGAGAUGUAUAUGAUGAUGAUUGAUGGAGUAAAUUGAGUAUAUGAUGUCAAUUGAUGAUUUUGAUAUGAGUUAGUUUAAUAAAAUUAGGGAUAUGUGUAUCUAUGCUCUAAUUUGUAAAUUGAUGGGUUAUAUGUGAGAUUAAUUGGUUAAGAUUGAUGGAUCUAUGAAUGGAUUAAAGAUUUAUGUGUGUUUAUAAAAUUUCAAAGAGUUUAGUUUAAUAAAAAUUAGGACUUUCUUGUCUAUGUGUCUAUUAAGUGAUUUGGCUUAAGAUAUAUGUAAUUGAGCAUGAAAUUAGUGUCUAUUUAUGUUUGAUUAGGUCUAUUAUAGGCUAAGUAAAAUUUUGACUUAGUUUAGUUUAUAUGAGUUUCUGAGUUCUCAUAUGAUGUGAGGUUGAUGCUUGGUAAAAUGAGGUCUAAUUGCUUUAUGACCAUUAUGUGAACGUUUAUCAUGUUUUAUUUAGAGUUUUAUGUUGAUACAUGAGUUUUCAUUAGAGUUUAGUUUACAUGAUAAAAAGGGAAUCUAUAUGUGUAUGAUGAGUUAUAUGAUGAAUAAGAUCAUGUUUGAGUAUUUGAGUAAUUUUGAGCAUGAAAAUGAGAAGGGAAUUUAAUUGAUGCGUUCGUUGAAACGUUUUCCAUGAGAAUUGAGUUUAUGAUGUAAGAGGAGAGUCGAGAUUGAGUAUGAUGAGUAUUAUGUUGCACUUAAAUGUUUUUGAGUACUAUAAGUGUUUAAAAUGAGCUUGGAUGAGUUUUCUUUGAAGAAAUGUUGAGUUGAGCAUGUUUGCUUGUGUGUUUGAGUUCGGAGUCAUUUUUUUAUGAUACACUGACCUACUGUUUUCGAGGGGUUUUUGAUACCUAAACACCAUGAAAAGUUUAUAGUAAGUAUAUUUGAGAAUCUUGAGCACACCGGUAAAAUUUGAAGUCAUUUGGACUUCGUUUACUAUUUUUACAAAAUGUAAAACCAAAACUGCUACGUUCAGCCGAAUUGUUCGGUGAGUAGCCAAUAAAGUCACCUUUUUCAGUAUCUUUCCUUACCUUUUUAGAACCCAAAUUUUUAUUUUUAAGACAUGAGUGUCUUACCUAUGUACCCACCAAAUUUCAGACUUUUUUCACAACGUUUACUAUUUUUCAAAAAUCAAACUUUUCGGUUGCUAAAACCUGUCGAAUAUGGUAGACUGUAGUAAAACAGUCAUAUCUCCUAAAAUACUUGGAGUUUUUUAUCCUAAUUUUUUUAAAAUGAAACUAGACUCAAAGAGAUUUCUUUUCGUAUAGGUUACGACUCUAGGGGAGUUCUGUAUCGAGUCUGCUGAAGUUUUGAAGUUGAGUCAGUGCAGAGUGAAGUUUAUUUUUGACUUGUCUAUGUGUGAUUUUUCAUAUGCUUAAGUGUUUAUGUUUGUUUAUGUGCUUGAUUGUUAUGAGUUUGGUCCGAGUUGAGAGUUAAGUUGAGAGUAGGACGUGUGAAUCCUUAGAAGUUGAGUAUACCUAGGGAUUGAGUUUUAAUGGGUAAAUAGACGUUGAGUGAGAAGUUAUAGUUUGAGAUGAGAUUGGAUUUAGAAAAUGAGUUUCUAACUAAGGUUUGUUUUAUCACAUGAACCUUCGAUGACGAUGAUGAUGAUAUAUGAAGGCCCGAGCGAGACGAAGAAGUAAGUCGCCUGAUUUCUUUCCAGAAUUAGCGAAGGACUUCAGGCUAAGCGAGGAGCGAGAUUGGUCUGGUGCUGGUGGAGGAAAGUUUCAGUCGAUGUAUUUUAAAUUUCCAUAUCGCCUUUAUGAUAUUAGAGUCUUGAUGUUUGAGAUACUUAGUUUUUUUUUGAAAUCAAGCAAUACACUCACGGUUAAGUGUCUUCAUACAUAUAAUCGGUUCGCCUUUUGCUGCGAUUCUCUGCAUAUUAUUCUUCCUUAUGAAAAAUGAGCUAUACCCGUUUUGUUUUUGUUCGUGAAAUUCAUGAUAUUUAUAAAGUUAUGACGAUGUUGACGUUUUUA
Long non-coding RNA from Salvia miltiorrhiza (redroot sage), 2261 nucleotides. RefSeq lists it as uncharacterized. Lineage: Eukaryota; Viridiplantae; Streptophyta; Magnoliopsida; Lamiales; Lamiaceae. The transcript has 2 exons. The record is from RefSeq and is a predicted model, not a curated record.